RNAcentral lists this ribosomal RNA (243 nucleotides) under uncultured bacterium. RNAcentral's name for it is "partial 16S ribosomal RNA". It matches the Rfam family "Bacterial small subunit ribosomal RNA", at positions 91 to 334 of the family's 1533-position model. The record is from RNAcentral.
CUUAGCGGCGGACGGGUGAGUAACGCGUGGGUAACCUGCCUUACACUGGGGGAUAACAGUUAGAAAUGACUGCUAAUACCGCAUAAGCGCACAGGGCCGCAUGGUCCGGUGUGAAAAACUCCGGUGGUGUAAGAUGGACCCGCGUCUGAUUAGGUAGUUGGUGGGGUAACGGCCCACCAAGCCGACGAUCAGUAGCCGACCUGAGAGGGUGACCGGCCACAUUGGGACUGAGACACGGCCCAA